UGACGGCCACAUCACGUUGAAACAUUGGUUCCCGUACGAGCACCCAAGUUAAGCAACGUCGAGCUUGGUCAGUACCUAGAUGGGUGACCGCUUGGGAAUAUC
Molecule: non-coding RNA, 102 nt
Organism: Acanthosepion pharaonis
Lineage: Eukaryota; Metazoa; Mollusca; Cephalopoda; Sepiida; Sepiidae
Source: the annotation of a GenBank genome assembly